RNAcentral lists this ribosomal RNA (301 nucleotides) under uncultured bacterium. Its description in RNAcentral is "partial 16S ribosomal RNA". It matches the Rfam family "Bacterial small subunit ribosomal RNA", at positions 509 to 807 of the family's 1533-position model. The record is from RNAcentral.
CAGUAGCCACGGUAAUACAGAGGGUGCAAGCGUUAAUCGGAAUUACUGGGCGUAAAGCGCGCGUAGGUGGUUCGCCAAGUUGGAUGUGAAAUCCCCGGGCUCAACCUGGGAACUGCAUCCAAAACUGGCGAGCUAGAGUAUGGUAGAGGGUGGUGGAAUUUCCUGUGUAGCGGUGAAAUGCGUAGAUAUAGGAAGGAACAUCAGUGGCGAAGGCGACCACCUGGACUGAUACUGACACUGAGGUGCGAAAGCGUGGGGAGCAAACAGGAUUAGAGACCCGUGUAGUCCCUGUCUCUUAUAC